GAAUAUUGGACAAUGGGGGCAACCCUGAUCCAGCCAUGCCGCGUGUGUGAAGAAGGCCUUUUGGUUGUAAAGCCCUUUAAGCAGUGAAGAAGACUCCCUGGUUAAUACCCAUGGACGAUGACAUUAGCUGACGACUAGGCACCGGCUAACUCGGUGCCAGCAGCCGCGGUACUCCAGAGGGUGCAAGUGUUAAUCGGCAUUACUGGGCCUAAAGCGAGCGUAGGUUGCUUGAUAAGUCAGAUGUGAAAUCCCCGUGCUUAACCUGGGAACUGCAUCUGAUACUGUUAGGCUAGAAUAGGUGAGACGAAGGUAGAAUUCCAGGUGUAGCGGUGAAAUGCGUAGAGAUCUGGAGGAAUACCGAUGGCGAAGGCAGCCUUCUGGCAUCAUAUUGACACUGAGGUUCGAAAGCGUGGGUAGCAAA
RNAcentral lists this ribosomal RNA (421 nucleotides) under uncultured bacterium. RNAcentral's name for it is "partial 16S ribosomal RNA". It matches the Rfam family "Bacterial small subunit ribosomal RNA", at positions 359 to 772 of the family's 1533-position model. The record is from RNAcentral.